AAUGGACGAAAGUCUGACGCAGCGACGCCGCGUGGGGGAUGAAGGUCUUCGGAUUGUAAACCCCUUUCGGGAGGGAGGAUGGAGUGGGUAACCACUUGGACGGUACCUCCAGAAGCAGCCACGGCCAACUUCGUGCCAGCAGCCGCGGUAAUACGAAGGUGGCAAGCGUUGUUCGGAUUCACUGGGCGUANAGGGUGUGUAGGCGGUUUGGUAAGCCUUCUGUUAAAGCUUCGGGCCCAACCCGGAAAGCGCAGAGGGUACUGCCAGGUUAGAGGGUGGGAGAGGAGCGCGGAAUUCCCGGUGUAGCGGUGAAAUGCGUAGAGAUCGGGAGGAAGGCCGGUGGCGAAGGCGGCGCUCUGGAACAUACCUGACGCUGAGACACGAAAGCGUGGGGAGCAAA
Molecule: ribosomal RNA, 400 nt
Filed under: uncultured bacterium
Lineage: Bacteria
Description: bacterial SSU rRNA
Rfam family: Bacterial small subunit ribosomal RNA
Source: RNAcentral